AGANUUUGAUCCUGGCUCAGAUUGAACGCUGGCGGCAUGCCUUACACAUGCAAGUCGAACGGCAGCAUGAUCUAGCUUGCUAGAUUGAUGGCGAGUGGCGAACGGGUGAGUAAUACAUCGGAACGUGCCCUGUAGUGGGGGAUAACUAGUCGAAAGAUUAGCUAAUACCGCAUACGACCUGAGGGUGAAAGUGGGGGACCGCAAGGCCUCAUGCUAUAGGAGCGGCCGAUGUCUGAUUAGCUAGUUGGUGGGGUAAAGGCCCACCAAGGCGACGAUCAGUAGCUGGUCUGAGAGGACGAUCAGCCACACUGGGACUGAGACACGGCCCAGACUCCUACGGGAGGCAGCAGUGGGGAAUUUUGGACAAUGGGCGAAAGCCUGAUCCAGCAAUGCCGCGUGUGUGAAGAAGGCCUUCGGGUUGUAAAGCACUUUUGUCCGGAAAGAAAUGGCUCUGGUUAAUACCUGGGGUCGAUGACGGUACCGGAAGAAUAAGGACCGGCUAACUACGUGCCAGCAGCCGCGGUAAUACGUAGGGUCCAAGCGUUAAUCGGAAUUACUGGGCGUAAAGCGUGCGCAGGCGGUUGUGCAAGACCGAUGUGAAAUCCCCGAGCUUAACUUGGGAAUUGCAUUGGUGACUGCACGGCUAGAGUGUGUCAGAGGGGGGUAGAAUUCCACGUGUAGCAGUGAAAUGCGUAGAGAUGUGGAGGAAUACCGAUGGCGAAGGCAGCCCCCUGGGAUAACACUGACGCUCAUGCACGAAAGCGUGGGGAGCAAACAGGAUUAGAUACCCUGGUAGUCCACGCCCUAAACGAUGUCAACUAGUUGUUGGGGAUUCAUUUCCUUAGUAACGUAGCUAACGCGUGAAGUUGACCGNCUGGGGAGUCGGUCGCAAGAUUAAAACUCAAAGGAAUUGACGGGGACCCGCACAAGCGGUGGAUGAUGUGGAUUAAUUCGAUGCAACGCGAAAAACCUUACCUACCCCUGGCAUGCCACUUACGAACAGAGAUGCAUUACGCAACCCUUGUCUCUAGUUGCUACGAAAGGGCACUCUAGAGAGACUGCCGGUGACAAACCGGAGGAAGGUGGGGAUGACGUCAAGGCCUCAUGGCCCUUAUGGGUAGGGCUUCACACGUCAUACAAUGGUGCAUACAGAGGGUUGCCAAGCCGCGAGGUGGAGCUAAUCCCAGAAAAUGCAUCGUAGUCCGGAUCGUAGUCUGCAACUCGACUACGUGAAGCUGGAAUCGCUAGUAAUCGCGGAUCAGCAUGCCGCGGUGAAUACGUUCCCGGGUCUUGUACACACCGCCCGUCACACCAUGGGAGUGGGCUUUACCAGAAGUAGUUAGCCUAACCGCAAGGAGGGCGAUUACCACGGUAGGGUUCAUGACUGGGGUGAAGUCGUAACAAGGUAACC
This 1411-nucleotide ribosomal RNA is filed under the name Ralstonia sp. 12B. RNAcentral's name for it is "partial 16S ribosomal RNA". It matches the Rfam family "Bacterial small subunit ribosomal RNA". The record is from RNAcentral. Lineage: Bacteria; Pseudomonadati; Pseudomonadota; Betaproteobacteria; Burkholderiales; Burkholderiaceae.